UUCUUUUAGGAAUUGCUUCCCCUGCCCCUCACAUCAACUACAACCAUGGAAUUUGAGCGAGGGCUACCAGUCACAUUGGAGAGGUGGGACAGGACCCAAAGCUUUCCAUUUAGAAGCUUCUUAGCAAUUUUUUAAAAUUGAAGUUGGAAAAACUCUUUUCCUCUUCAAAAAAGCAUUGUAAUAUAGUAACAAAGACAUAUUGUUCAUUACCUGAUUCCUCUGCCAUAAGGUAGACUUCUGUGUUUGUUUAGAGCUGUAUGCCCAGCAUCGAGAACUGUGCAAGGCACAGAAGAUUCUCCACAAAUAUUUGUUAAAUGAGUAAACAAAUGCUGGGAAUGUAUGAACUAAGGACUGACAAUAGCCAUGAAACCUGCCAUGUCAAAGAAACCAGUAGAGACCACACAGAAAGAAGCAAAGAAGACAAGGGGUCCUGUGAGUGAUUUAUUCUCCUGAGAAGAUCUGGAGGAGUUACAGCUUAUUGGAAAGGAAGGCAAAAAUAGGGAUGCUCUUCCAAAUACCAAAAUGAGCAAGAGGAAUUGGACUAGAUUUUAACUAAACAUGAAGACUGAACUUUCCUUCUAGAUCUCAGUGAUGCUGGAAGUGGCCCUCCUGUCUUGUGGCACGCAGCAGCCUCAGGACCUGUUAAACUAUCACUGGAAAGGGGAGGAGGAGAGAAAGCUCCCAGAAAGGGAAGGCAGCUCCCCGCUUCAGGCACAUAAUGCCAAUCAGAACAUGACAUUGUAAUACAUCAAACACGUUUCCAGAAGAAAAGAACUUGUGAAUUUAACAGCAGUUGGGUGUGGGAAGUCCAUCAGCAUUUUCAAAUAAUCAUGUCCAUAAUCAACUAAAAAGGCUAUCUUCAGUUAACAAGAGUUAGUCCUUCAUAUAUGGACUAUUAACAAGACACUAAUGCAAGACUUACUAAUCAGACUUCCCUACUAGACACUACCUUGCAUUUAUUGUUGAGAUGUGACACAUGAUGUUAAUUACAAAAUAAAUGACAUUCAGCCAGAAUCUAAAUAUCUAGGAAUCUAAAAUAACCAGAUCUUAUCUCCCACCCCUAUAGUCUCGUACGAUGAUAAUGAUGCCAACCCAGAAAACCCUGACAUUUUCUGUUUCUAAGGUUUCUCUGAAUCACCAUAAAGAUUUACUUAUGCUCUUGUGAAAUGCAUGUGCAUUGUUUUUACAGUAAGCCAAUUCUUCAAAAAUUGGUAAUCUGAAAUAUGAGACUUCCCAAAGCAGCCUUAGCAAGAAAAUUGCCGCAUUUGCUUCUUAACAGUCCUACCAGAUUACCCCCAAAUUUGGUGAGAUUUCCACUCUUUAGACUUGGGUGGUGAGGAGCAUAGUUAAACAGAUGUGGGCACGAAUCCUCUUCACUUCAACCCGUAAUCUUGGGCACGUUCAUUAACUCUCUGUGCUCAGUUUCCUCAACUGAAAAUCGAGAAAAACAAUACCUAUACCAUGAGGGUAUUCGUGUGGGGACUAAAUGAGAUAAUGUAUAAUAAUGACAUACUGUCCAGUAAUCCUUUAAUAAAUAGGGACUGCUAAUAUCUUCUUUAACUCAAUCACCUGUUUAGAGGGUGAGCAAUGACAGUGAGGCAUAUAAAAAUACACACAACUCUGAGGGAACCCUCUGCACUGGAGAGAAACUACAACCACGCAUGACACACUGACACCAAUCUUAAACCAUUUAUAGGAAAGGGCUAAGUGACCAGCAUACAAUAUUGGUUUAGAAAUUGAGAGACGUUGCAAACACAAAUGGCAGAGCAUUCUUAGUCCUCCAUUCUCACCUGAUCCCAAUAAUGAAGAGCACAGCUGGGAUGGAAGGAGACCAAGCUCCCUACCUUCCUGCCCAGCGCUCUUUACAACCUGCGAGCUGCACGCUGAGGCAUCACAGCCAGGCCGCGGAUGGUGGAUACAAUUAUCUCCCAGCCCUUUGAAGUUCGGCCAGAAAUAUUUGUUGUCAAUAUCACAUGUGAUUAGGACAGUAAUGUCCUCCUGCAAAAGACAGAACCCUUUGUCCACCACCCUCCUUCUGCCACUGCCAGAGAGCAGGAAGUGGGUGAGGGGCCGGCGCCUCUCUCCUCUUGGUCCAAUUUCACACAUUGGUUUUUCAGCAUUAAUAAAUUGGUUACAUUUGCCCUGCAUUUGGCAGCGAGGUUUCUAAUAACACUCUGAUCCCUUCAGAGAACAUGAAUCACUGGCAUGUGGGGGCUCUGGUUACCUCCCCCGACUGUCUGCUGCUAAAGGUCCCACACAUUAGCAAGGGUCAGGCACUCACCCGGGCCAGGGCAAAGUCUAAGACAAGGGCCAUGGCUUCGAGGCACUGCCACGGAGCUCAAAGAUUUUCCCUCAGAGGGAGAACAGAAAACUUUGAGCCCAGGCAAUGUGCAGCUUUCUUCAGCUGUCAAUCCUACCUGGUUUGCAUAUAGAUUAAGAAAACGUGUGAGAUUUUACCACAAGAAUCAGUCCAGAGAAUUCAAGGAGGGUGGUGGUGGGUGGAGAGAGGAUGGGAGGGAAAAAAAUGUGUGAUGCAGAUGUCUGAGAGUUAUGUG
This is a long non-coding RNA of Equus caballus (horse), 2555 nucleotides long. NCBI's taxonomy places the organism in Eukaryota, Metazoa, Chordata, Mammalia, Perissodactyla, Equidae. The record is from Ensembl.